RNAcentral lists this long non-coding RNA (3351 nucleotides) under Salmo salar (Atlantic salmon). RNAcentral's name for it is "lncRNA (ENSSSAG00000081739.1)". Lineage: Eukaryota; Metazoa; Chordata; Actinopteri; Salmoniformes; Salmonidae. The record is from RNAcentral.
UCUGCUUUUGGUGACGCCUGACCUUGAAUUGAAAAUGGAUGUUUGUACUUUUGUGGCUAUGUACUGUCCUAACAUAAUCUAACUUUAUGCUUUUGCCGUAAAGCCUCUUUGAAAAUCGAACAAUGUGGUUAGAUUAAGGAGAUGUUUAUCAUUUAAAUUGUGUAAAAUAGUUGAUUGUUUGAGAAAUUGAAAUUAUUAGAUUUUUGAUGUUUUGAAUUUCCAGCCUUGUUAGCAAUCCCGGCUCGGGGUUCAUUGCUAACCUGUAGCCCCAACAGGGUAUUAAGUUAAGAUCUUUUCAUUUUUCAGUUAAGUGCCUGCACCUGCUGUCCUUUCAAAUUCAAAUCCAAAUGUUUCAGUUGGGCAGUUAGGUUCCUGCAAGAACCCCGACCAACUAAGGAGGUUCCACGAUGAACCCCACCUCCUAUGGGGUUCUUGGAAGAACCUUUUGGGUGCAAUUUUCAGUGCCAAGAACCCUAAGGUUCUUUGAAGAACUUUGAGGAUCUUAGAAGAACUCUUGUUGAACCCCUAAUUUUUAGAGGGGAUCUGCUGUACCUAUGUUAUGCAGGAAAAAGUCAGUUACAAAUGAUUUUGUUUUGGUUAAAAACAGGUUGUCAUCCAGGAGGCUUUGAUUCAAUUUCCAAUAUCAUUGUGCACAUGGAAAUUCUGUAAGAAUAAUGCGGAUGCCAAUUAUUUAAUGGUCUGAUCGCAUUCUGCCCCCUAUAAAAAAAUUUUUUUUUACUUUUGGUGCCAGCGAGAAGAACACAAGAAAGUAGUCAAGACAACUAUCUUAAUUAAGGCUCCAUGUAUAUCUCAUUAGGUCAGGAUUUUAAGCCUCCUCCAUGUAUAUCUAACUAGGACAGGAUUUUUAAGCCUCCAUACAUCCACUUGUUGUAAUGUAUCCAUGACAUUCGUAAUUUCCCUAAGUGCAUGAGGGUGAUAGUUUGUAGUGUGAUUUCCUUCACGGUCCAUUGGGGUAGUUAAACCCGUAUUAUAAUCUCCCACCAUAAUAAUACAGUCAUUUGUUGCAUGUGAACUCGAUAGAGGAUUAUACAUAUUUUCAAAGAACCAUGGAUCAUCAUUAUUUGGACCGUAUAGAUUAAUUAGACAAAUCUGUUAAUGGUCCAAUAGCAUAUUUAAAAGGAUCCACCUUACUUGAGGUUCUGUUUGGACAGUUUGCAAAAUCGAUUUGAAAUUGUUAUUAAUUAAUAUCAUCACCAUCCCAGUCCUUUCCUCAUCUAUAGUUAUAGGGUAAGUUUUCCUGUAAACAAUAAAUAUUAUACCUUGUCCGUAGACUGCUUACAGGGUAAAGAAACCAACAUGUAAUUUGUCAUUUAGGUGAAGUAUCCCCUUAACAAGUUCAGGCAUGAAUUCCAAGUGGUUAGGGCUAAGGUUUGGGUAAGAGUUAAAACAGAGAGUGCCUAGCACUGGGAUUGAAUCUGCGAUGUUCGGAGUCGUAGCUCACCAUAGCUCAUAAUCCAUCCCCAUUGCCAUUUAUCAUCAGUUGAACGCUACUAGCGCACCACUAGCUAGAUAUUUGACAUCGGUUACAUCUCCACCAGAGAGGGUGGAAACACUCCUAACCUCCAAACCUGGCAGGCCUUCACUAAUGAGGAAUACGGGCUAGGCUGUCAGUGGGUUCAUUAAUGGAUCAAGGUUGCUUCCUUAACACAAACACACUGACAGAGGAAGUGAACGGAGCAAGAUUGUUUCCUUAACACAAACACACUGACAGAGGAAGUGAACGGAGCAAGGUUGUUUCCUUAACACAAACACACUGACAGAGAAAGUGAACGGAGCAAGGUUGUUUCCUUAACACAAACACACUGACAAAAGAAGUGAACGGAGCAAGGUUGUUUCCUUAACACAAUCACACUGACAGAGGAAGUGAACGGAGCAAGGUUGUUUCCUUAACACAAUCACACUGACAGAGGAAGUGAACGGAGCAUGGUUGCUUCCUCUGCAGAAAGACAGCAUCUAGCCCAAACACACACUCCUAUGAGUCAGCAGUUUAUGGGGAGCGUACUGUACAGUGCUUGUGAGCCAGUGGCUAAACUACCAAUCAUUUGGAAGGAAUGCCAUAAUUACUUUUGUAGGGUAAAAAGAGCAAGAAAAAAUGAAAGUUGAAGGUCCACAUCAGACUACAGUCUCUAAUAACACAGUUUCUCUCCCUCUGUAUUCGUUCCAGCCCCUCAGGGACCAAUGAAUGCCAACUUUCUGAUACACAGUUUGAUAGGAAGGCCUGUUUAGCUCUCUAACAAAUAUCAAUGUGGAAGUUUUACCUGUUGUUUCAACAAAUACUUUUCCGUAAAGGAGUAACUACUGCCUCCCCUGAUUCGUUUAAGGGUGUGCUUAUCUCUCCUGAAUGUCAACGGUAAUAAACAGUGCUAAACAUAAUAAUCGAUAAUACUCGUCAACAUACUUCAAAUCAAACCAUAUUCUAUUAAUCACAUGCACCUAAUACAACUGGUGUAGACUUUACAGUGAAACGCUUGCUCACAAACAUUUCCCAACUAUGCACAGUGGGGGAAAAAAGUAUAACUAAAACAAGAGGAAUGAAAUAAAAUACACAAGAAUGGAGCUAUUUACAGGAAGUACCAGUACCAGAUCACUGUGGAGCUAUAUACUGGGAGUACCAGUACCAGAUCAAUGUGGAGCUAUACACAGGGAGUACCAGUACCAGAUCAAUGUGGAGCUAUAUACUGGGAGUACCAGUAUCAGAUCAAUGUGGAGCUAUAUACAGGGAGUACCAGUACCAGAUCAAUGUGGAGCUAUACACAGGGAGUACCAGUACCAGAUCAAUGUGGAGCUAUAUACUGGGAGUACCAGUACCAGAUCAAUGUGGAGCUAUAUACAGGGAGUACCAGUACCAGAUCACUGUGGAGUUAUUUACAGAGAGUAUAAGUACCAGAUCACUGUGGAGUUAUAUACAGGGAGUACCAGUACCAGAUCAAUGUGGAGCUAUAUACAGGGAGUACCAGUACCUGAUCAAUGUGGAGUUAUAUACAGGGAGUACCAGUACCACAUCAAUGUGGAGCUAUAUACAGGGAGUAUCAGUACCAGACCAAUGUGGAGCUAUAUACAGGGAGUACCAGUACCAGAUCAAUGUGGAGCUAUAUACAGGGAGUACCUGUACCAGAUCAACGUGGAGCUAUAUACAGGGAGUACCAGUACCAGAUCAAUGUUGAGCUAUAUACAGGGAGUACCAGUACCAGGUCAAUGUGGAGCUAUAUACAGGGAAUACCAGUACCAGAUCAAUGUGGAGCUAUAUACAGGCAGUACCAGUACCAGAUCAAUGUGGAGCUAUAUACUGGAAGUACCAGUACCAGAUCAAUGUGGAGCUAUAUACAGGGA